Molecule: long non-coding RNA, 1523 nt
Organism: Mya arenaria
Lineage: Eukaryota; Metazoa; Mollusca; Bivalvia; Myida; Myidae
Exons: 5
Source: RefSeq, a predicted model, not a curated record
CAUAUUUUGCCAAACUAGACGAACAACAACAAACACAACCACAGCAAAAUACGAAGAUAUGUCGUGUGCAGCCCUUACUAGUGUAUCGUAUCGGUGGAUUUCAAAGGCAUCAACGAAACAUUCGGUUCAACGGUCAUUUUUUGCCAACCUCGACUGUUGAUGCACCAUGAGCACAGUUAACUACAGAUCGGAUAAACAACCAUUCGGAUAUCAUGAUCUUGUGAUAGGGUCGCGUCUUAAAAUUAUGCAAACAAAAAGAUUGACAUCUCAGUUCUAUACAAACGACCAUUUCCAUGUAUUGUUGGAGGAGGAAAGUGAUGCUGCCUUUCUAUUCGAAUACAGAUGCAGAGAACCCGAUUUUCAAAAGCUAGAGCUACAGUUAUGGCAAAUUGAAAUGGAAAUUAUGAGGCAGUGGCCUACUUGAGUUUUACAAACUCUCCACUGAAAUUGAGACCAGCAUGCAAGACCAAAGUCAUUAAACACAACAAGAUACUGCUGUUGGUGUACAUGUACUUCAGAUGCAUCAGUCCGGUUUAUCAGCUGUGUGAAAUCAACAUCUCCACAGCAGCAGCUGGGACCUCAUUCUUUGCUGGAUGGAUACAGAGAUGACCCCAGAGAUGUAGCCAUCACUGUGACAUGGACAUUAUAGAUAGUGACCUUAAACUAAUCAUAAAAAAAUGUUGAAAAAUUAUGGUUUUCUAAUAUUAAGUUGAGAUUAACAUUAUUUUUAGAAUUUGUGAACAAUUAGUGUUAAAGCUGAACUAUAGAUUGAGAAUACAUAAUGAAGAGGUACGGUAAAUUCACUGAGGAGUUAUUUAACAUAUAACAAUGAAGGUCGACUUCCUAAUGGUCUGUCACCAAUUAUCAGAUAUGUCACAUAUGCUGCACGCUUCAUUUGCUUCAGAGACUGAAUAGAUUUUCAUACUGGGUAUUUAAGUGUUUUGCUUAUUUCGAUUUUAAAAAAUAUUUUGAAAUUAAUCGCCAAAAAAAUUGAAAGAUUGUCACCACUUUUGCAAAUUUGCCAAGGGCAAUUGCCAAUGGAAACAAAAUUGAAUUAUAUAAAAAACAAAUAUUUGGCACAAAUGUGUCCGUAAUUUCUUGCAUGCAUGUAGGAACUGCUUGAUGAAUAUAUGACCAAUUAAUGACUUUAUGAACUCUGCAUGAUGUUUACAUCAGAUAGUUACUUUCUAUAUCUGUAAUGACAUUAAGAUAUAUGAGCAUUAACUCUAAGGCAUUGCAUGUAGUAAGUGGUGAUAUAUUUAUGUGCAUUUGAGAUGAGUCUGCCUUGCCAAAAUCUGCGUGUUCACCUCCCAGUUCAACAGUGACAAUAAAAUGUGCCAAAUCAAGUUCACAGUUAAUAUUUAGAAAUACUUUUUUGUUUAGGAAGGUAUAGAGUAUUUGUGGCGGGAUGACCAUAGGUGGCAGUAUUAGUCAGGGAUGGUCAACCCUCAACAUACACUUUAGUGAAACAUAAAGGUAAAUCAAUGCAGUAACUAUAUAUAUAUAUAUAUAUAAAUAUUACA